ACAAGCCAAAUUCCCUCCCACUUCCUCUAGAUCAAAACCGGCCCUAACCCACUCUCUCCCCCUUUGAUUUUUCUUCCACCCAAGUUCAAGAACAAGCUCACCUCUAGGAUCAAGGUUUUGAGAAACAAAUCCAAGAGGCUUUGGGUACAUCCAUAGGAGUCAAGGCAAUUUUUGGCUAGAGAGCAAGUCUACAACGCAAGGGCUAAAAUUUUGAGAAGAUCUAGGCGCCAACGAAAGGAAAAAGGCCUACAACCUAUUGAUGGACUUGGCGGUGGACUGGUAAGGCAGAGGUUUGGAGACUGGAUACUACCAUGCAAAAUUAUUCCGCAAUUUAUGUUUUGAUUUUGAGAAUUAGUCAUGUUUAAAUUUAUAGUUUAGAAAGUCUUUACAUGCAAAUUUUAUUUGCGAUGCUUAUUUAUAUGUGUGUUUCGAAUUCUAAGUAC
Molecule: long non-coding RNA, 443 nt
Organism: Morus notabilis
Lineage: Eukaryota; Viridiplantae; Streptophyta; Magnoliopsida; Rosales; Moraceae
Exons: 4
Source: RefSeq, a predicted model, not a curated record